GAUGAACGCUGGAGGCGUGCCUAAUACAUGCAAGUCGAGCGAACAGAUGAGGAGCUUGCUCCUCUGACGUUAGCGGCGGACGGGUGAGUAACACGUGGAUAACCUACCUAUAAGACUGGGAUAACUUCGGGAAACCGGAGCUAAUACCGGAUAAUAUAUUGAACCGCAUGGUUCAAUAGUGAAAGACGGUUUUGCUGUCACUUAUAGAUGGAUCCGCGCCGCAUUAGCUAGUUGGUAAGGUAACGGCUUACCAAGGCAACGAUGCGUAGCCGACCUGAGAGGGUGAUGGGCCACACUGGAACUGAGACACGGUCCAGACUCCUACGGGAGGCAGCAGUAGGGAAUCUUCCGCAAUGGGCGAAAGCCUGACGGAGCAACGCCGCGUGAGUGAUGAAGGUCUUCGGAUCGUAAAACUCUGUUAUUAGGGAAGAACAAAUGUGUAAGUAACUAUGCACGUCUUGACGGUACCUAAUCAGAAAGCCACGGCUAGCUACGUG
This 497-nucleotide ribosomal RNA is filed under the name uncultured bacterium. Its description in RNAcentral is "partial 16S ribosomal RNA". It matches the Rfam family "Bacterial small subunit ribosomal RNA", at positions 28 to 507 of the family's 1533-position model. The record is from RNAcentral.